This 316-nucleotide long non-coding RNA is filed under the name Phoenix dactylifera (date palm). RNAcentral describes it as "long non-coding RNA (PDAC_LNC006604)". The record is from RNAcentral. Lineage: Eukaryota; Viridiplantae; Streptophyta; Magnoliopsida; Arecales; Arecaceae.
CAAAGUCUCUACUCAUUUAACCAAUUCACAUACACACAUCAAUUUCUUUUUCCAUCUUAUAUCCGGCCUAGACUAACCAUGGUCACGUUUCCGGCCCGUGACAGGGCAAUCAAUAUAACAUGGUUAGUCCAUACCACCACAUUCAUAAAUUCAAUUAUGCAGGUAUAAGUUAUACACAUACAUGCAUCCAUCAUACUACCAAUCACAAGCCAACACGAUCAAAAUAUAAUUAAAUAUAAAACUAUUUUGCUUUGUCUGGAUCAUAGCAUAUCAAACAUAUAUAAUGCAAAAAUAUUUUUAUCAUGUAGGAUUGGCG